AACCUCCGCAAUGUGAGAAAUCGCGACGGGGGGAUCCCAAGUGCCAUUCUUAACGGGAUGGCUUUUCAUUAGUGUAAAGAGCUUUUGGAAUAAGAGCUGGGCAAGACCGGUGCCAGCCGCCGCGGUAACACCGGCAGCUCUAGUGGUAGCAAUUUUUAUUGGGCCUAAAGCGUCCGUAGCCGGUUUAAUAAGUCUCUGGUGAAAUCCUGUAGCUUAACUGUGGGAAUUGCUGGAGAUACUAUUAGACUUGAGACCGGGAGAGGUUAGAGGUACUCCCAGGGUAGAGGUGAAAUUCUGUAAUCCUGGGAGGACCGCCUGUUGCGAAGGCGUCUAACUGGAACGGUUCUGACGGUGAGGGACGAAAGUUAGGGGCGCGAAACCGGAUUAGAUACCCGGGUAGUCCUAACUGUAAACGAUGCGGACUUGGUGUUGGGGUGGCUUUGAGCUGUCUCAGUGCCGAAGGGAAGCUGUUAAGUCCGCCGCCUGGGAAGUACGGCCGCAAGACUGAAACUUAAAGGAAUU
This 522-nucleotide ribosomal RNA is filed under the name uncultured bacterium. RNAcentral's name for it is "bacterial SSU rRNA". It matches the Rfam family "Archaeal small subunit ribosomal RNA", at positions 345 to 866 of the family's 1478-position model. The record is from RNAcentral.